Canis lupus familiaris (dog) is the source of this 930-nucleotide long non-coding RNA. RefSeq lists it as uncharacterized. The transcript is spliced from 5 exons. The record is from RefSeq and is a predicted model, not a curated record. Lineage: Eukaryota; Metazoa; Chordata; Mammalia; Carnivora; Canidae.
UCCUGACACAGUGAUUCUAAAUUCUAUCCACAAUCCCCAGCCACGACUACGGGGCUGCCUCUGGUUCCCUGGCCCACGUUACUGUGAAGGGCUGACUUCUCUGCGUUCCCGUGGCGACCUUACUCGUACAACCAGUGUGGUAUCUACAGGGCAGCUGAUCUCUGAAAUUUGGACAACCCUAAGGAUAGACCUAUGUGUUAUACUCCUUCGUGUUCAACAUAAAGAGGAUGCUCAUUAUCAACACAAAAAAACAACAAACCACAAAGAUGAUUCCAGUCAAGACAUCCAAAUGUUUACUCUGAGUCAUAGACCGGCUACCACAAACCGAGGGAAUGUUCUUAAAAGAAAAAGGGGACAGUCAUCCAGUGACAUUUCCAUCCUCCAGAUGGUGACUACUCGAUACCUUCUGCCUGCUUUUGGCGAAUCUCUAGUGCUUCCAGGUGAUCAUGUAUUAUUUUUCUGUGUCCCCCGAAGAUGGUACCUGAGGUCUGCUAGAGGAAGUCCCACCGAAGCCCUCCUAUCCCGGCUACGAGCAGGAGGUCCUCCACGAAUAUUUCUCUUACAGUUGGUUGGUACAUUCCUAGAGAUGAGACCCUUGUGAUGUGUUCCUCUCUGCAAGGUCUGGAGUAUGCAUUCAAAACUGAACUAAUUGCAUCCAGAAGUCUUCAGGUUGCAACAUAAAGUGAAAUUACUGAUAAAUAAACAAACCUGUACAAACCAAUGGCUUCUCCUUCGUGCUGAGAUGCAAAUGACGGAUGGUAGAACCUACACGUUGACUAUGUGCUGCUUGAGAAGAGGCACGAGAAGAGCACUGGAUACACCACGAUGGGCUGAUCAUGAGUAGAUGCGGUAAAGAAAUUGUGCAAGGGACUCUCAGCGUUGAAAACACAAUAUUUUCAGUGACAAAUUUGUCCCUCAGAUGAGCACUGG